UAAUAGGAAAUGGCAGUCACUUCGAAUAAGGAAGUAUUCAAGUGACCAGGGGAGCAGCAAUCAGGGAGAAGCAAAUGGGAUAGUUUGCAAACAGUUUACUAGGAGCAAGAGGAAGAAGGGGAAGAGGAACCAGGCACCAAGCACCAGAUUCUGCUCUGGGAAGGGAGGCGUUUCCUUUUGUAUACCACAAAUGGCCAAGUGAAGGCAUGUGAAGUGGUACCAGAGAAGAAUUUAACAGUAACUCCCAGAAGAGCAUUGAAGAUCAAGUAGCUAUGUAUAUUUAUACUUGGCUCGUUCCUCAGAUUCUUACUAAACUCCAGAGGUAAAGUACACAGACAUAUUUUACAGCAAGGACUGCAAAAUGGCAAUCUAUACUGCACCUGAAACGGGCCACAAAUUGAAAAAAAGAACACACCAAACCCUCAGUGGAUUUGUAUGGAUGAUUCAGACUGAUCCUUCAAACUAUUCCAUGUGAGCAGACCUAUGCUGACGACAGUGGGACACCACAGCAUGCU
Alligator sinensis (Chinese alligator) is the source of this 515-nucleotide long non-coding RNA. RefSeq lists it as uncharacterized. NCBI's taxonomy places the organism in Eukaryota, Metazoa, Chordata, Crocodylia, Alligatoridae. The record is from RefSeq and is a predicted model, not a curated record. The transcript is spliced from 4 exons.